RNAcentral lists this ribosomal RNA (253 nucleotides) under uncultured bacterium. Its description in RNAcentral is "partial 16S ribosomal RNA". It matches the Rfam family "Bacterial small subunit ribosomal RNA", at positions 524 to 776 of the family's 1533-position model. The record is from RNAcentral.
UACGUGGGGUGCAAGCGUUGUUCGGAAUUACUGGGCGUAAAGCGUGAGGAGGCGGCUCGCUAAGUCAGAUGUGAAAGCCCCGGGCUUAACCUGGGAACUGCGUUUGAAACUGGGAGACUUGAGUGUGGCAGAGGGGGGUGGAAUUCCACGUGUAGCAGUGAAAUGCGUAGAUAUGUGGAGGAACACCGAUGGCGAAGGCAGCCCCCUGGGUUAACACUGACGCUCAUGCACGAAAGCGUGGGGAGCAAACAGG